Molecule: RNA transcript, 639 nt
Organism: Rosa chinensis
Lineage: Eukaryota; Viridiplantae; Streptophyta; Magnoliopsida; Rosales; Rosaceae
Exons: 4
Source: RefSeq, a predicted model, not a curated record
GCCAACUUGAUAACAUACAAGGCUUCCAUCUCUUCCCGUUCUUCGCUCCGCUCACAGAAUUCUUCAUACACCAUCCUUCCUGUUCUUCUACCAAACAAGCGGGAAAAUUAGGUGGGAUUUUGAGAGAGAAUGCAGGAUUUCGAGAGACAAGAGAGGAGUCCUGAUUAUGACUCUUCCUAACCCAAAAGAGAUGGACGGAAAUAUAAAAGGCAAUCAGCUCUGUUCAUCACAACAUCAACUUCUACUCUCUCUAUUCAAUCUUCAUUUCGAAGGGUCUGUUGCAAAGUGCCUAAAUUAUAGGUGUUCUUCGUUCAAUUUUUCUGAUUUAAGGUGUUUAGGAUCAAACACAUCCACCAAAACGAAAACAUUGACAUGAACAUUGUAGUACCCAACAGUGAAGAAGAUGAUGUCUUUGGAAGAGAUGAAGACGGUGUCCAAAACAAUGGAGAUAAUUCAGAAACAAAGGAUUUGGAGGAAGACUUGUGAUUCAUAAAGCCAUUUUCAGUAAUUUUUGGUUUAGGAUUUAACUAAUCUUGGCAAACAAUUUUUUUUUAUUAGCUAUUAUUAUUUUGGGGCCGUGACCACUUACCAAAUUUCAACUUCAAAAUUGCCCACUUACUCCACUAAGAGUUUUUUUAA